AUGUCGAUCCGCAUGCUGAACCAGAACGCGGAGGUGAUGAACAAGUCGGCGGCCCUGGCCAUGAACAUCGGCGCCGCCAAGGGCCUCCAGGACGUCCUCAAGACCAACCUCGGCCCCAAGGGCACCAUCAAGAUGCUCGUGGGUGGAGCUGGCGACAUCAAGCUGACCAAGGACGGGAACACCCUCUUGAAAGAAAUGCAAAUCCAGAACCCGACAGCAAUCAUGAUUGCGAGAACGGCGGUGGCGCAGGACGACACGAGCGGCGAUGGCACCACGUCCACGGUGCUUUUCAUCGGGGAGCUUAUGAAGAUGUCUGAGCGAUGCAUCGAAGAAGGUACUCAUCCACGGUUUUUGGUUGAUGGCUUUGAGGUUGCCAAGAAAGCAACUCUUGAAUUUCUCGAGACAUUCAAGACACCAGUUGUUAUCGGUGAUCAACCCGACAGGGAGAUCUUGAAAAUGGUAGCAAGAACAACUCUUAGGACAAAGCUGUAUGAAGGAUUGGCUGAUCAGUUGACCAAUAUUGUUGUGAAUGCGGUCCUAUGCAUCCGCCAAAGUGAUCAACCAAUUGAUCUUUUUAUGGUGGAAAUAAUGCAUAUGCGCCACAAAUUCGAUGUCGACACACGUCUGAUUGAGGGUCUGGUCCUUGACCAUGGUUCUCGGCACCCUGACAUGAAGCGCAGAGCAGAGAAUUGUUACAUCCUGACAGCUAAUGUAUCACUGGAAUACGAGAAAAGUGAAAUCAAUGCAGGAUUCUUCUACUCAAACGCAGAACAAAGAGAAAAGAUGGUUACUGCAGAGAGGCGUCAAGUUGAUGAACGUGUCCAGAAGAUCAUUGAAUUGAAAAAUAAGGUUUGCGCAGGAACUGACAAGAAUUUUGUGGUGAUCAACCAAAAGGGCAUCGAUCCUCCGUCCCUUGAUCUCCUAGCUAGAGCUGGGAUUAUUGCUCUCCGAAGAGCAAAGCGGAGGAACAUGGAGAGACUUGUGCUAGCAUGUGGCGGCGAAGCCAUCAAUUCAGUUGAAGGCAUGACUGAAGACUGUCUUGGCUGGGCUGGGCUUGUCUAUGAGCAUGUUCUUGGAGAAGAAAAAUACACGUUCGUGGAGAAUGUUAAGAACCCUCACUCCUGUACUAUUUUGAUCAAAGGACCUAAUGAUCACACCAUUGCACAAAUUAAGGAUGCCGUACGAGAUGGUCUAAGAUCUGUGAAGAACACAGUUGAGGAUGAAGCUGUUGUGCUGGGCGCUGGAGCGUUCGAGAUGGCUGCAAGGAAGCAUCUCAUUGACAAUGUGAAGAAAACCGUUAAAGGACGAGCCCAACUUGGGGUGGGGGCAUUUGCUGAUGCUCUGCUCGUUAUCCCCAAGACGCUAGCGGAGAAUUCGGGCUUAGAUACCCAAGACGUUAUUGUCUCUCUUGAGAAUGAGCACGACCGUGGGCUGGUGGUGGGGCUGAACCAUAACACUGGCGAGCCGGUCGACCCUGAGAUGGAAGGUAUCUAUGACAACUACUCGGUGAAGCGCCAGAUCGUCAACUCGGGGCCCAUCAUCGCGUCGCAGCUGUUGCUAGUGGAUGAGGUGAUCAGGGCGGGGCGCAACAUGAGGAAACCAACCUAA
RNAcentral lists this ribosomal RNA (1608 nucleotides) under Triticum aestivum (bread wheat). Its description in RNAcentral is "partial small subunit ribosomal RNA". Lineage: Eukaryota; Viridiplantae; Streptophyta; Magnoliopsida; Poales; Poaceae. The record is from RNAcentral.